CAUAGGUAGUGGCUUGGUUAAGGGAACCCACUAGAGCCAUAGUGAAAGUGAGUCUUUAUAGGAAAUUGUUAUUACUUAUGGACCCGAACCUGGGUGAUCUAUCACAAACUAGGAUGAAGCUUGGGUGAAACUAAGUGGAGGUCCAACCGAUUGAUAUUGAAGAAUUAGAGGAUAAGUUGUGGUUAGGGGUGAAAUGUCACUCAAACCUAGAGCAAGUUGG
RNAcentral lists this non-coding RNA (220 nucleotides) under Solanum tuberosum (potato). Its description in RNAcentral is "Bacterial large subunit ribosomal RNA". It matches the Rfam family "Bacterial large subunit ribosomal RNA", at positions 629 to 852 of the family's 2925-position model. Lineage: Eukaryota; Viridiplantae; Streptophyta; Magnoliopsida; Solanales; Solanaceae. The record is from Rfam by way of RNAcentral.